This 254-nucleotide ribosomal RNA is filed under the name uncultured bacterium. RNAcentral describes it as "partial 16S ribosomal RNA". It matches the Rfam family "Bacterial small subunit ribosomal RNA", at positions 524 to 776 of the family's 1533-position model. The record is from RNAcentral.
UACGUAGGGGGCGAGCGUUGUCCGGAUUUAUUGGGCGUAAAAGGCUUGUAGGUGGCCACGUCAAGUCGGAUGUGAAAUCUCCCGGCUCAACUGGGAGGGGUCAUUCGAUACUGGCGGGCUCGAGGCCGGUAGGGGGAAGCGGAAUUCCCGGUGUAGUGGUGGAAUGCGCAGAUAUCAGGAAGAACACCCGUGGCUAAGGCGGCUCUCUAGUACGGUACUGACGCUGAGACGCGAAAGCGUGGGGAGCGAACAGG